GACGAACGCUGGCGGCGUGCCUAAUACAUGCAAGUAGAACGCUGAAGGAGGAGCUUGCUUCACUGGAUGAGUUGCGAACGGGUGAGUAACGCGUAGGUAACCUGCCUGGUAGCGGGGGAUAACUAUUGGAAACGAUAGCUAAUACCGCAUAAGAGUAGAUGUUGCAUGACAUUUGCUUAAAAGGUGCAAUUGCAUCACUACCAGAUGGACCUGCGUUGUAUUAGCUAGUUGGUGGGGUAACGGCUCACCAAGGCGACGAUACAUAGCCGACCUGAGAGGGUGAUCGGCCACACUGGGACUGAGACACGGCCCAGACUCCUACGGGAGGCAGCAGUAGGGAAUCUUCGGCAAUGGACGGAAGUCUGACCGAGCAACGCCGCGUGAGUGAAGAAGGUUUUCGGAUCGUAAAGCUCUGUUGUAAGAGAAGAACGAGUGUGAGAGUGGAAAGUUCACACUGUGACGGUAUCUUACCAGAAAGGGACGGCUAACUACGUG
Molecule: ribosomal RNA, 495 nt
Filed under: uncultured bacterium
Lineage: Bacteria
Description: partial 16S ribosomal RNA
Rfam family: Bacterial small subunit ribosomal RNA
Source: RNAcentral